UAGGACUAUCAUUGUGAAGCAGAAUUCACCAAGUGUUGGAUUGUUCACCCACCAAUAGGGAACGUGAGCUGGGUUUAGACCGUCGUGAAAUAUGUU
Molecule: non-coding RNA, 96 nt
Filed under: Brassica napus (rape)
Lineage: Eukaryota; Viridiplantae; Streptophyta; Magnoliopsida; Brassicales; Brassicaceae
Description: rRNA LSU_rRNA_eukarya
Rfam family: Eukaryotic large subunit ribosomal RNA
Source: Rfam by way of RNAcentral